GACGAACGCUGGCGGCGUGCCUAAUACAUGCAAGUCGAACGGAAAGGCCCUGCUCUUGCGGGGUGCUCGAGUGGCGAACGGGUGAGUAACACGCGAGUAACCUGUCCUUGACUUUGGGAUAACACUAGGAAACUGGGGCUAAUAUCGGAUAGGAGCUCUUGCUGCACGGUGGGGGUUGGAAAGUUUCGGCGGUUGGGGAUGGACUGGCGGCUUAUCAGCUUGUUGGUGGGGUAGUGGCUUACCAAGGCUUUGACGGGUAGCCGGCCUGAGAGGGUGACCGGGCACAUUGGGACUAAGGUACGGCCCAGAAUCCUACGGGAGGCAGCGGUGGGGAGUAUUGCGGAGUAGGCGGGAGCCUGAUGCAGAGGCGCUGCGUGCGGAAUGACGGGCUUCGAGUGAUGAACCGAUGUGGCCUGAGACGAGGCGUGAGUGACGGUAAUGAGUAAGGAAGCACCGGCUAACUACGUG
RNAcentral lists this ribosomal RNA (468 nucleotides) under uncultured bacterium. RNAcentral describes it as "partial 16S ribosomal RNA". It matches the Rfam family "Bacterial small subunit ribosomal RNA", at positions 28 to 507 of the family's 1533-position model. The record is from RNAcentral.